UACGAAGGGGGCGAGCGUUGUUCGGAAUUACUGGGCGUAAAGCGUGCGCAGGCGGCCUUCCAAGUCAGGGGUGAAAGCCCAGAGCUCAACUCUGGAAUUGCCUUUGAGACUGUGAGGCUUGAGUACGGGAGAGGUGAGUGGAAUUCCCAGUGUAGAGGUGAAAUUCGUAGAUAUUGGGAAGAACACCGGUGGCGAAGGCGGCUCACUGGCCCGAAACUGACGCUCAUGCACGACAGCGUGGGGAUCAAACAGG
This 253-nucleotide ribosomal RNA is filed under the name uncultured bacterium. Its description in RNAcentral is "partial 16S ribosomal RNA". It matches the Rfam family "Bacterial small subunit ribosomal RNA", at positions 524 to 776 of the family's 1533-position model. The record is from RNAcentral.